GAGGAAUAUUGGACACUGGGUGCAAGCCUGAUCCAGCCAUCCCGCGUGAAGGAUUAAGGACCUAUGGUUUGUAAACUUCUUUUGUACAGGGAUAAACCAUUCUACGUGUAGAAUGCUGAAGGUACUGUACGAAUAAGCACCGGCUAACUCCGUGCCAGCAGCCGCGGUAAUACGGAGGGUGCAAGCGUUAUCCGGAUUUAUUGGGUUUAAAGGGUCCGUAGGCGGAUCUAUAAGUCAGUGGUGAAAGCCGACAGCUUAACUGUCGAACUGCCGUUGAUACUGUAGGUCUUGAGUAAAUUUGAAGUGGCUGGAAUAAGUAGUGUAGCGGUGAAAUGCUUAGAUAUCACGAAGAACUCCAAUUGCGAAGGCAGCUCACUGGAGUGUAACUGACGCUGAUGCUCGAAAGUGUGGGUAUCAAACA
Molecule: ribosomal RNA, 421 nt
Filed under: uncultured Flavobacteriaceae bacterium
Lineage: Bacteria; Pseudomonadati; Bacteroidota; Flavobacteriia; Flavobacteriales; Flavobacteriaceae
Description: bacterial SSU rRNA
Rfam family: Bacterial small subunit ribosomal RNA
Source: RNAcentral